RNAcentral lists this ribosomal RNA (468 nucleotides) under uncultured bacterium. Its description in RNAcentral is "partial 16S ribosomal RNA". It matches the Rfam family "Bacterial small subunit ribosomal RNA", at positions 28 to 507 of the family's 1533-position model. The record is from RNAcentral.
GACGAACGCUGGCGGCGUGCUUAACACAUGCAAGUCGAACGAAAAGGCCCUGCGUUUGUGGGUUGCUCGAUUGCCGAACGCGUGAGUGACACGUGAGUAACCUGCCCUUAACUUUGUGAGAACUUCAGGAAACUGGGGCUCAUAUCCGAUAGGAGCUCCUGCAGCAUGGGGGUGGUUGGAAAGUUCCGGCGGUUGUGGAUGGACUCGCGGCUUACCCGCUGCUUGGUGGAGUAGGGGCUUACCAAGGCUUUGACGGGUAGCCGGCAUGAGAGGGUGACCGGGCACAUUGGGACUGAGAGACGGACCAGAAUCCGACGGGAGGCAGCAGGCGGGAACAUUGCACAAUGGGGGGAAGCCUGAGGCAGAAACCCCGCGUGCGGGAUGACGGCCUACGGGUGGUAAACAGAUGUCGACUGUGACGAAGCGUGAGUGACGGUAAUGGGUAAAGAAGCACCGGCUAACUACGUG